This 477-nucleotide ribosomal RNA is filed under the name Paragehyra gabriellae. RNAcentral describes it as "partial 16S ribosomal RNA". It matches the Rfam family "Bacterial large subunit ribosomal RNA", at positions 1925 to 2568 of the family's 2925-position model. The record is from RNAcentral. Lineage: Eukaryota; Metazoa; Chordata; Lepidosauria; Squamata; Gekkonidae.
UAACGGCCGCGGUAUCCUAACCGUGCAAAGGUAGCGUAAUCACUUGUCCCCUAAAUAGAGACCAGUAUGAACGGCUAAAUGAGGGCCUAACUGUCUCCUACAACUAAUCAAUGAAACUGAUCUUUCAGUACAAAAGCUGAAAUACAACCAUAAGACGAGAAGACCCUGCGGAGCUUUAAACAACACCACUAUUAAGCCCAACCACAAACCCAACAAACGGGUACACGCCACCCCCCACCUAGUGAUAGUUUUAAGUUGGGGCGACUGCGGAGUAAAAUAAAACCUCCAUGAAAAGGGCCCCCCCCCCCCAAGGUGAACACACCCAAGGAACAAAAAUAAUAUGACCCAGUAACACUGACCAUCGAACCAAGUUACCCCAGGGAUAACAGCGCCAUCCUCUUUAAGAGUCCCUAUCGCCAAGAGGGUUUACGACCUCGAUGUUGGAUCAGGACACCCAGGUGGUGCAGCCGCUACCAA